UAGCUCAGUUGGCCAGAGCAGCUGAUUUGUAAUCAGCUGGUCGGGGGUUCGAAUCCCUC
Molecule: transfer RNA, 59 nt
Filed under: Bacteroidetes bacterium GWA2_33_15
Lineage: Bacteria; Pseudomonadati; Bacteroidota
Description: tRNA-Thr
Rfam family: tRNA
About the family: Transfer RNA (tRNA) molecules are approximately 80 nucleotides in length.
Source: RNAcentral